This is a long non-coding RNA of Chelonus insularis, 430 nucleotides long. RefSeq lists it as uncharacterized. NCBI's taxonomy places the organism in Eukaryota, Metazoa, Arthropoda, Insecta, Hymenoptera, Braconidae. The record is from RefSeq and is a predicted model, not a curated record. The transcript is spliced from 4 exons.
CUCUUCCACUUCAGAUACAGACAUGUGAUGCUUUACACAGUGAAUACAAAAAUGUAUUGGCAUCCUUUGAGACAUGACACAGUGAUACUUGAUUGAAUGGAGGGUUAGAAGAUCAAUAUUUUUAUCUUACAAUGAAAACUACUGUAUCAACCUCCGAAACUUGUGAUUUCUGCCACAAUUUGGAUAAGUUCAAAACGUAAUUAAAUUGUCAAUAUAUCAUGAAGAAUCUCUACCAUCAGCAUUGAUAUCGAGCGUACUAGAGAGGGCAAGAGAACACUCUGGGUGUUCCCAUUGGAGCCUGGAUCUCGCGUUCACUGACCUACCUUAACAGAGCCCCGUGUAUCCUACUACCCUCAACACUUCUCUCUCUCUCUCUCUCUUUCUCUAUAGGCGAAUCCAACACUAGGUAAAUAUAAAAUCAAUCCCUUCA